GUCUAUGGCCAUAUUACCCUAAACGUGCUCAAUCUCUUCUGGUCUCAGAAGCUAAGGAGGGUCAGGAGUGACAUUAAUACUUGGGUGGGAGACAGAUCUUAACAAGACACUGCUCAAAGACA
This 122-nucleotide ribosomal RNA is filed under the name Castor canadensis (American beaver). The record is from RNAcentral. Lineage: Eukaryota; Metazoa; Chordata; Mammalia; Rodentia; Castoridae.